GACGAACGCUGGCGGCGUGCCUAAUACAUGCAAGUCGAGCGGAACUUAGAAAGCUUGCUUUCUAAGUUUAGCGGCGGACGGGUGAGUAACACGUGGGCAACCUGCCUAUAAGACUGGGAUAACUUCGGGAAACCGGAGCUAAUACCGGAUAAUAUAAAAGAUCACAUGGUCUUUUAUUGAAAGAUGGCUUCGGCUAUCACUUAUAGAUGGGCCCGCGGCGCAUUAGCUAGUUGGUGAGGUAAUGGCUCACCAAGGCGACGAUGCGUAGCCGACCUGAGAGGGUGAUCGGCCACACUGGGACUGAGACACGGCCCAGACUCCUACGGGAGGCAGCAGUAGGGAAUCUUCCGCAAUGGACGAAAGUCUGACGGAGCAACGCCGCGUGAACGAUGAAGGCCUUCGGGUCGUAAAGUUCUGUUGUUAGGGAAGAACAAGUAUCGUUCGAAUAGGGCGGUACCUUGACGGUACCUAACCAGAAAGCCACGGCUAACUACGUG
This 497-nucleotide ribosomal RNA is filed under the name uncultured bacterium. RNAcentral describes it as "bacterial SSU rRNA". It matches the Rfam family "Bacterial small subunit ribosomal RNA", at positions 28 to 507 of the family's 1533-position model. The record is from RNAcentral.